This 821-nucleotide ribosomal RNA is filed under the name uncultured Bacteroidota bacterium. Its description in RNAcentral is "bacterial SSU rRNA". It matches the Rfam family "Bacterial small subunit ribosomal RNA", at positions 17 to 825 of the family's 1533-position model. The record is from RNAcentral. Lineage: Bacteria; Pseudomonadati; Bacteroidota.
UCCUGGCUCAGGAUGAACGCUAGCUACAGGCUUAACACAUGCAAGUCGAGGGGAAACGACAUCGAAAGCUUGCUUUCGAUGGGCGUCGACCGGCGCACGGGUGAGUAACGCGUAUCCAACCUGCCCACCACUUGGGGAUAACCUUGCGAAAGUAAGACUAAUACCCAAUGAUAUCUCUAGAAGACAUCUGAAAGAGAUUAAAGAUUUAUCGGUGAUGGAUGGGGAUGCGUCUGAUUAGCUUGUUGGCGGGGUAACGGCCCACCAAGGCUACGAUCAGUAGGGGUUCUGAGAGGAAGGUCCCCCACAUUGGAACUGAGACACGGUCCAAACUCCUACGGGAGGCAGCAGUGAGGAAUAUUGGUCAAUGGGCGAGAGUCUGAACCAGCCAAGUAGCGUGCAGGAUGACGGCCCUAUGGGUUGUAAACUGCUUUUAUAAGGGAAUAAAGUGAGUCUCGUGAGACUUUUUGCAUGUACCUUAUGAAUAAGGACCGGCUAAUUCCGUGCCAGCAGCCGCGGUAAUACGGAAGGUCCGGGCGUUAUCCGGAUUUAUUGGGUUUAAAGGGAGCGUAGGCCGGAGAUUAAGCGUGUUGUGAAAUGUAGAUGCUCAACAUCUGCACUGCAGCGCGAACUGGUUUCCUUGAGUACGCACAAAGUGGGCGGAAUUCGUGGUGUAGCGGUGAAAUGCUUAGAUAUCACGAAGAACUCCGAUUGCGAAGGCAGCUCACUGGAGCGCAACUGACGCUGAAGCUCGAAAGUGCGGGUAUCGAACAGGAUUAGAUACCCUGGUAGUCCGCACGGUAAACGAUGGAUGCCCGCUGUUG